This 599-nucleotide unclassified non-coding RNA is filed under the name Hevea brasiliensis (rubber tree). Lineage: Eukaryota; Viridiplantae; Streptophyta; Magnoliopsida; Malpighiales; Euphorbiaceae. The record is from RNAcentral.
GGCUUGAUUCUUUGCAGCAACUACUGAUCCUGAGCUUUCCAAACAUGAAGCUCCUUCUGAAUGAAUGGUUAUGGUAGGAGCAUUGGUAGAACCUUUCUCAACCAAAAUCCUAUGGCUUACUUCCCGUUGAUGCAUAUCAAACCUAGGCGACAUAGGAGCGGUGGAUGAAGUGUCUUUGAAUCUAUCUGUAUCAUUCUAAAACAGAUGGAAAGUCAUUAGAAAAUCACUGAAGUACUUUUAACAAUAUUUGUUUCAUGGAAUAGCAAAUUCGUACACAAUGCAUGGUAAUCCUUAACUGGUUUUGUUUGCUUCUGAACAGAAUGAGUUUCCUUCUUUGUUUGAACUUAGACCAGUUUGAAUCACAUCACUUUGCAGAAGGCUUUUAUGUGAAUCUUAAGAAAAUAGAACAAUCCAGAAAUCAAGAAAAAAUGCUCAGCAGAUAAGGAAAAUGUAGAACAGGACUAUCUGUUCCUUUUGUUUUCAGCUUUCAGCUGGAAACUUCUCAUAAUCACUUUUACUGGUAAAGCAAAAUCAAACCUGAGACUUCAUGAUUGGGCUGCAAAGAUGAUGCAAUGUUACUACCAACAGUAGUAGCAUGU